Molecule: small nuclear RNA, 61 nt
Organism: Callithrix jacchus (white-tufted-ear marmoset)
Lineage: Eukaryota; Metazoa; Chordata; Mammalia; Primates; Cebidae
Gene: U7
Rfam family: U7 small nuclear RNA
About the family: Animal histone pre-mRNAs are spliced by a different mechanism than nuclear pre-mRNAs and self-splicing introns. This processing involves the U7 snRNP, which contains only one RNA species: U7.
Source: Ensembl
UAGUGUUAUAGCUCUUUUAAAUUUGUCUAGCAGGUUUUCUGGUGUUCACCCAAAAACCUCC